UGGGGAAUUUUGGACAAUGGGCGAAAGCCUGAUCCAGCAAUGCCGCGUGUGUGAAGAAGGCCUUCGGGUUGUAAAGCACUUUUGUCCGGAAAGAAAUCCUUGGCUCUAAUACAGUCGGGGGAUGACGGUACCGGAAGAAUAAGCACCGGCUAACUACGUGCCAGCAGCCGCGGUAAUACGUAGGGUGCAAGCGUUAAUCGGAAUUACUGGGCGUAAAGCGUGCGCAGGCGGUUUGCUAAGACCGAUGUGAAAUCCCGGGCUCAACCUGGGAACUGCAUUGGUGACUGGCAGGCUAGAGUAUGGCAGAGGGGGGUAGAAUUCCACGUGUAGCAGUGAAAUGCGUAGAGAUGUGGAGGAAUACCGAUGGCGAAGGCAGCCCCUGGGCCAAUACUGACGCUCAUGCACGAAAGCGUGGGGGAGCAAACAGGAUUAGAUACCCUGGUAGUCCACGCCCUAAACGAUGUCAACUAGUUGUUGGGGAUUCAUUUCCUUAGUAACGUAGCUAACGCGUGAAGUUGACCGCCU
Molecule: ribosomal RNA, 525 nt
Filed under: uncultured bacterium
Lineage: Bacteria
Description: partial 16S ribosomal RNA
Rfam family: Bacterial small subunit ribosomal RNA
Source: RNAcentral